Erigeron canadensis is the source of this 318-nucleotide long non-coding RNA. RefSeq lists it as uncharacterized. The record is from RefSeq and is a predicted model, not a curated record. The transcript is spliced from 3 exons. Lineage: Eukaryota; Viridiplantae; Streptophyta; Magnoliopsida; Asterales; Asteraceae.
UCUCUCUCUCUCUCACUAAAUGCAUCACCAACACUUGCAUCCUCUUUCUCUCUAAAUUCUUUAUAUCAUUUAAUGUGUUUCAAGCUAGUUUAGUCAUAAAUUCACCAUCACAAUCAUCAUCUAAUCAUCAUAUCAAAAAUUUAAAGCUUAAAGUGCAAGAAAACUUGAUUUUUAUCUAAUUUUGGAUUUUUAGCUUCGGUGGAGUUUUGGUGGAUACGUGUGACGAUCAUUGGACGAUAAUAUUUGAUUAUAAACUUCUCUUUUGCCGAUCAAGGUGAACAGGUGAAUCAAAGACGUGUUGGAUGAUGAUUGAUUGUU